AGCGUUAUCAUCAGUUAUCAACAAAAUAGAGGUAUCUUUCAUUUUUCCGAAGUAGUGAUGGGUAGUGAUGCCGAAAAUUCCGCCGGAAAGUUCAGUGCUCAGCUCUUGAAAUGAACAUCUUUUCUCCGCUGUACCGUUGUAACAUUUGAUACAAUUCUUUGAAUACGUCCUCUUUGCCUGUAUCACAAUUCCAAUGCAAAAUUGCGUGAAGUGUUGAUGUUCUCAUCCACCCGUCUAUAGUUUCUAUUCUUGGAUUUCGUAAAAUAGCAGUUUCUUGAUUUCUUACUUAUCCCUAUUACGCCUUUCUUUUUUAAGCCGUUUAGCAACUAGAGUGACUCGUUCUGUCUUUCUUUAAAACAUUGUGUAAAGAUAUAUUUUGAGGUUAAGGCUUAUCAGACUGCAGGUUAGCACAUGUUUUAUUUACUCACCCAUCAGAUGCAACAGGUUCAAUUCAGUCACGUUUGCGGAUUUUGAUGAUCCCCACCUUGAGCACACUUAUUUCAAGAAUACUUCUAAAUACCUUCAAUCGCACCAUGUAUCUGCAAGGACUUAUCUUUACUGCAGACACUCCGAUCACCAGUACCUCGUCAAACCUCGUAUCCUGCCCUCCAGAUGUCGCGCCUACAUCUUAUCUUCUCUUGCCAAGCGUCGGAGAAACAAAGGAAGAAAAUGAGAUAAGGAAAAAGCUAUCCUUGGUACAAACGUAUGCGGAGAGGUUGAAGCCGUUACUACAGUCUGAUGUCGCCAUCCUCAAUGAAAAUAACGCACCGUAUCUGUCGGAAAUAGAUCAGAUCAAAGUCUACGAAUUUUUCGUGAAUUUGCAAACAAAAGAUUCUUCCUCGUCUCCUGUAGAGAAGAUAACUUGGUUUCUUAUCACACCUUGGUCCUCCAAGCAAUUCUUUGAACGGUAUAUUUGGCCUAUCAAGUAUAUACCUGACUGCGUUGGGAAUCGUGAGUUUCAGUACCAGAUCAAACGUGCGGUUGAUGACAGCAACUUGCAUUUGCUGGAGGGUCUUUUAAGCCGCAAACCCGACAUUUCUUGCAGUGAUAGCAGGGGCGUCAGUUUUCCUUUUUUGCACCUGGCUGCCAAGAGAUGCUGCCUUGUGCUUGUCAGAGCAUUGCUGGACCACGGAGCGAACGUUCAUAGCAAGAUCUAUACCACACAAUUCUCCAGUCACGGAGAGACCCCUCUGCAUCUGCUGUGA
RNAcentral lists this long non-coding RNA (1205 nucleotides) under Bemisia tabaci. RNAcentral describes it as "lncRNA ENSSWEETPG008836". The record is from RNAcentral. Lineage: Eukaryota; Metazoa; Arthropoda; Insecta; Hemiptera; Aleyrodidae.